AUAAAAAGGAAAAACAGGGCAAUCCUUCUAUUACGCAAGCACAAUAGUUUCAUGGUCUUUGCAGACACAGCAUGGUGUAUGGCUGUGAUGAAAAACUUACUUGACUUUGUCCUCUUUGCCUCUAGCCAGACAUAGGGCAUCAACGACCUUCCUCCAUCUGACCUUGUUGGGGGCCGUUCUCUAUAGUCACAUGAGCAAAAACUUAAUCAUACUUGUCUCCGACCACACACACACAUCCAUGAUGUGGUCCAAAGUCAGGCCAAAACAAAUCACUUGAUUGUCACAGAAAUAUUUCUUAAGUUUGGACAUUCCCUCUUACUUAAAAAACAUGCCAAUGAUCCAUUUGAGCUGUUUUGUUACACAGACUCACCCUCAUAGAAACGAUGCAUUUUCUCUUAGAAGUAAAGACUUGUAUAUAUAUAUGUCUAUAUGGGCAUCUCAGCACUCUAGGGCUUGUUGUUGUUGUUGUUGUUGUUCCUCAGUUAGACUCAAAUAAAACACAAAUAAAGCUUCUCUCCAUUUAUGACAUUUUCCUCUAUGUCUGGGUCAGGCAUAUGGUGCUUCUAUCAGAAAACAAAUUUGGUGUCUGUGCUUCUCAUCAAUCAACAGUUGAGAAAGAUAUUAGCUAUUUUAGGGAGACUUUUUUUAACUGCACCACUAAAGCAGUGUAAAUGCAAGCUGAAUCCAUCCACAUUCACAUCAGUCUUUUCCUGGCUAGAGGGUUUCCAAACCUUGGAAACGCAGACCUUUAGGGUAAAUGGAACAUCCUUUUAUCUGGUCACAUACAGCCCACAGCAACCAGCUAAUUGAAAGAGGAAUGCAAAUGAGAAAAAUACCAGGGUGUUUGCAGGAACUUAAGUUCAGAGUGGCAUAAGUAAACAUAAGUAAAAGGAGUUUGAAAAUAAAUAGAUCGUUGUUUGGGUGGGAUGCUGGGAGUCUUUGGUUGGGUUAGAGUUUGAGAAGGCAGUGGAAAUCUCCUCAAGUCAAGCUGCUGCGGUUAUCUGUGCCGAAGCAAAACUGGUCAUCAGUGUUGAAUGCACAAGGCCUGAGCCAUUCAUAAGCAGUUAGAUAACCCAAGACCUGAAGCAAAGUACUCAUCAUGGCUAAUAAAACUGUGGCCACAGAGUUUUCAUAUAAAACUCUCACUUGCUUAAAGGGCACUUUACAUUCAUCUACUGUAUAUGAUGCUGCCACAGUAAAAUUAGCAGUAAUAUUUGCAGUGUUAAAAGUUAUUAAUUCCCAAAGAGUUGAAUUAACAAUCUACAGUGUUAAACAGUACUCGUGUUCAGUGUUGUCACACGGUGUAAUAUUUAUCUAAUUUCACUUUUACACUGAAAGUGUAAAAAAAAAAACCGCCGAAUUUAUCUGACUCCGCCCCUCAAGCACCACUGCCUAGCAAAGCGACGACGCCAUGUUAUCUUCAGGCGACCGAGAAGGUUUACAGUGUUAUGUUCGUGAGGUGUAGAGAUGCAACGUUAGCCUACAGAAGAGUGAAAGUUUCUCAUGCCGUUUUGAUUUCCUGAAAUAAGAUCAUCUCUCCUUCAUGCCCGCCGAGUCUGAAGCAGCAACAUUUGGCCGGUUUUCUGCUCCGAGGAGAGAAUUCAUCAAAUGAAGCCAAGUUCCUGGCUUUUCCCAAGACCUUCAAGGACACGAUUGACCUCGGAAUCAGCUGUAAAGGAGGAUGAAACCGAUGUCUAAGGCACUAAUAAGAAGAAUACCUUGUAGAGACCACACAGCCAUACCUGCUCGCUGAUGGGACAAAGAGGAACAGCGUUCAUGGAUGCUAUACAACUCAAGUCAAGUCAAGUCACCUUUAUUUAUAUAGCGCUUUUAACAAUACAGAUUGUGUCAAAGCACUUAACAGUAUCAAAUUGGAGGAUAGAGUGUCAGUAAUGUAUAAUGAUAAGAUUAAACACUCAAUUUUCAGUUAAAGGCAUUUCAUUAUUGAAUUCAGAGAUGUCAUUGUCUAGCUCAGUUUAGUUUAAAUAGUAUCUGUGCAAUCAAAUCGGCGAUAAUCUCUAGAAAUUAAGUGUCCCCAACUGAGCAAGCCAGAGGCGACAGCGGCAAGGAACCAAAACUCCCUCUGAGACAGAAUGGAGAAAAAAAAAAAACCUUGGGAGAAACCAGGCUCAGUCGGGGGGCCAGUUCUCCUCUGGUCAGAUGAAACCCGCAGUUCAAAAGUUUAUAUUUCUAUUUUAAUUUUGUUGCAAUUUCUAACAAUAGUAGUAUUAUGUAGUUAGGUAUUUUAUUAUAUUUUUAGUUAUUUUGUUAUAUUUUUUAGUUUUAUUGUAUUAUAAUCGAGGUUUUCGCUGGGGAUAUGUCUCUGGGGGUCAUCUGGGUGUCCUGGUCUCCGCUGACGAUCAGGGCCGUAGACAUCAUCUCUUGGUGCUGAUCUACCAUCUGAUCGGAUACGGACUGAGAAACAGAAUAGGAACGAAACAGACAAAUAUUAGCGUAGAUGCCAUUCUACGAGUACAUCGUGUGUUAUGGGGAGUGUUCCUGGUUCCGGUUGAUGUAAUUAAUGCAGCCUAACAGUCCUUUAACGGAUUUGAAUAAUAGAAGCGUAUUAGUGUGUUAUGUGUAAGCCAGGCUAAAGAGAUGGGUCUUUAAUCUAGAUUUAAACUGACAGAGUGUGUCUCCCUCCCGAACAGUGUUAGGUAGAUUGUUCCAGAGUUUGGGUGCUAAAUAGGAAAAGGAUCUGCCGCCCGCAGUCGAUUUUGAUAUUCUAGGUAUUAUCAAACGGCCAGAGUUUUGAGAACGCAGUGGACGUGGAGGACUAUAUUGUGAUAAGAGCUCGCUCAAGUACUGAGGAGCUAAACCAUUCAGGGCUUUAUAAGUAAUUAACAAGAUUUUAAAAUCUAUCCGAUGUUUGAUAGGGAGCCAGUGCAGUGUUGACAGAACCGGGCUAAUAUGGUCAUAUUUCCUGGUUCUAGUAAGGACUCUAGCUGCUGCAUUUUGGACCAACUGUAGUUUGUUGAUCAAGCGUGCAGAACAACCACCCAAUAAAGCAUUACAAUAGUCUAACCUUGAGGUCAUAAACGCAUGAAUUAACAUUUCUGCAUUUGACGUUGAGAGCAUAGGUCGCAAUUUAGAUAUGCUUUUGAGAUGAAAAAACGCAGUUUUACAGAUGCUAGAAACAUGGCUUUCAAAUGAAAGAUUGCUAUCAAACAGCACACCUAGGUUCCUGACUGAUGAAGAAGAAUUGACAGAGCAGCCAUCAAGUGUUAGAUAAUGUUCUAGGUUAUUACAUGUGGGGUUUUUAGGUCCGAUAAUUAACACCUCUGUUUUUUCAGAAUUUAGCAGAAUUUAGCCACAACUGUCGACAAGUAUCUUGCUGCAAUCUUGUUCAAAUCAUAUUCAAAUCGUAUACCUGUCAUAUUUGUUAAUGUCUAGGUAAAUUUGAUGAUUUCAUGCGUUUUAUUAACUAUUUUAUGUUUCCGUGCAACACUUCAUGAAUGUGACUGACUAAUUAACCUCUACACAUCUGGUAUAUGCUUUAAAAUUGCCACUUUGCCCAUUUGUUAAAUAAACGUUGGAAUUUGUAAAUCUGUCUGAAGA
Molecule: long non-coding RNA, 3558 nt
Organism: Onychostoma macrolepis
Lineage: Eukaryota; Metazoa; Chordata; Actinopteri; Cypriniformes; Cyprinidae
Exons: 5
Source: RefSeq, a predicted model, not a curated record